RNAcentral lists this ribosomal RNA (531 nucleotides) under uncultured Enterobacterales bacterium. Its description in RNAcentral is "bacterial SSU rRNA". It matches the Rfam family "Bacterial small subunit ribosomal RNA", at positions 8 to 528 of the family's 1533-position model. Lineage: Bacteria; Pseudomonadati; Pseudomonadota; Gammaproteobacteria; Enterobacterales. The record is from RNAcentral.
AGAGUUUGAUCCUGGCUCAGAUUGAACGCUGGCGGCAGGCCUAACACAUGCAAGUCGAACGGUAGCACAGAGGAGCUUGCUCCUUGGGUGACGAGUGGCGGACGGGUGAGUAAUGUCUGGGAAACUGCCCGAUGGAGGGGGAUAACUACUGGAAACGGUAGCUAAUACCGCAUAACGUCGCAAGACCGAAGAGGGGGACCUUCGGGCCUCUUGCCAUCGGAUGUGCCCAGAUGGGAUUAGCUAGUAGGUGGGGUAACGGCUCACCUAGGCGACGAUCCCUAGCUGGUCUGAGAGGAUGACCAGCCACACUGGAACUGAGACACGGUCCAGACUCCUACGGGAGGCAGCAGUGGGGAAUAUUGCACAAUGGGCGCAAGCCUGAUGCAGCCAUGCCGCGUGUAUGAAGAAGGCCUUCGGGUUGUAAAGUACUUUCAGCGAGGAGGAAGGCGUUGUGGUUAAUAACCGCAACGAUUGACGUUACUCGCAGAAGAAGCACCGGCUAACUCCGUGCCAGCCGCCGCGGUAAAAGGG